AAAAAAAGAUGUGAAAAUCAUCAAUGGAUUUACAAU
Molecule: small RNA, 36 nt
Filed under: Anaerobutyricum hallii
Lineage: Bacteria; Bacillati; Bacillota; Clostridia; Lachnospirales; Lachnospiraceae
Description: CRISPR_Spacer
Source: RNAcentral